AGCAGCAUCUGGACACCCUUAGAGGGGGAAGCAGCGGAUGCAGAGCCACAGCUGGUGCUCAACACGGGGCACAACCAGCUGACAUAACCCACAGCUGGUACCCACGGGAAUCCAACAGGACCUCUGGGUUGAGCAAAAAGGGGCCCUACUAUGUUUUCCACAGGAGUCAACUCAUGGAUUCAGAUACUCUGAAAGGACAUCUGACCUGAUGCCUCCAGUCCAGAGCCACUCUCUGGUGUUAAUGAAAGGAAAUAAAACUUGAGACAUGUGAUUCAUGUAAUUUA
Mus musculus (house mouse) is the source of this 284-nucleotide long non-coding RNA. RefSeq annotates it as predicted gene, 39858. NCBI's taxonomy places the organism in Eukaryota, Metazoa, Chordata, Mammalia, Rodentia, Muridae. The record is from RefSeq and is a predicted model, not a curated record. The transcript has 2 exons.